RNAcentral lists this long non-coding RNA (243 nucleotides) under Lathyrus oleraceus (garden pea). RNAcentral's name for it is "Pisum sativum (pea) long non-coding RNA (PSAT_LNC029567)". Lineage: Eukaryota; Viridiplantae; Streptophyta; Magnoliopsida; Fabales; Fabaceae. The record is from RNAcentral.
UUUUUUAGGUUUUUUCUUUAUUAAUAUUUUCUUUACAAGGAUAUGAAAUAAAAUUCCAAAUGGACAAAGAAAAAAUGACAUAAUCACAAAUAAUAUGAUAUGGGAUGCUAAACAUAAAGUAUAAAGUAAAUGGCAUAAAAUAAAAGAGCAUAACGUAAAUGAUUUUGAAGUAAAAGUUAAUACAAAGUAAAAUGUUAGCAAAUGAUGUUAGUAAUAAAAAAUAAACCUGUAAGCAUGAAAACA